CAAAAACAUAGCCCAGUGAUAAUACAUUGGGUGAUUUCUGCUCAAUGAGAUAUUAAAUAGCCGCAGUACCCUGACUGUGCAAAGGUAGCGAAAUCAAUUGGCUUCUAAUUAAAGUCCUGCAUGAAAGAAUAUAUGGGGGCCCACUAUACAGCUAUAUAUAAUGAAUUUACUUAGUGAGUGCAAAUUCUCAUAAAAAAAUAAUAGACGAGRAGACCCUAGAAAUUUUAACAAAUGUUUUUGUUGGGGCAACAUAGUAGCAGUUAACCUACUUUAAGUAUAUGAAAUAAAUUAGAUAAAUUAAAUUACUCUAGGGAUAACAGCAUAAUCUAAUAAGGUUUGUGACCUCGAUGUUGGACUAGGGAAUCGUGGUUUAGAAAACUCUCGCGUAUGCUCUGUUCGAGCA
This 403-nucleotide ribosomal RNA is filed under the name Aslintesta camelus. RNAcentral describes it as "partial 16S ribosomal RNA". It matches the Rfam family "Archaeal large subunit ribosomal RNA", at positions 1903 to 2658 of the family's 2987-position model. The record is from RNAcentral. Lineage: Eukaryota; Metazoa; Mollusca; Gastropoda; Stylommatophora; Camaenidae.